RNAcentral lists this ribosomal RNA (498 nucleotides) under uncultured Glomeromycotina. RNAcentral's name for it is "partial small subunit ribosomal RNA". It matches the Rfam family "Eukaryotic small subunit ribosomal RNA", at positions 591 to 1092 of the family's 1831-position model. The record is from RNAcentral. Lineage: Eukaryota; Fungi; Glomeromycota.
CCAAUAGCGUAUAUUAAAGUUGUUGCAGUUAAAAAGCUCGUAGUUGAAUUUCGGGAUCAAUAGGUUGGUCGUGCCUUGGUACGUAAUAGUUUAUUGGUUUCUUUCUUCUGACGAACCAUGAUGGCAUUAAUUUGGUGUCUUGGGGAAUCAGGCCUGUUACUUUGAAAAAAUUAGAGUGUUUAAAGCAGGCUCACGCUUGAAUACAUUAGCAUGGAAUAAUGAAAAAGGGCGUUUGAUUCUAUUUUGUUGGUUUCUAGGAUCGACGUAAUGAUUAAUAGGGAUAGUUGGGGGCAUUAGUAUUCAAUUGUCAGAGGUGAAAUUCUUGGAUUUAUUGAAGACUAACUACUGCGAAAGCAUUUGCCAAGGAUGUUUUCAUUAAUCAAGAACGAAAGUUAGGGGAUCGAAGACGAUCAGAUACCGUCGUAGUCUUAACCAUAAACUAUGCCGACUAGGGAUCGGAUGAUGUUAAUUUUUUAAUGACUCAUUCGGCGCCUUACG